Molecule: ribosomal RNA, 252 nt
Filed under: uncultured bacterium
Lineage: Bacteria
Description: partial 16S ribosomal RNA
Rfam family: Bacterial small subunit ribosomal RNA
Source: RNAcentral
UACGAAGGGGGCUAGCGUUGUUCGGAAUUACUGGGCGUAAAGCGCACGUAGGCGGAUUGUUAAGUUAGGGGUGAAUCCCGGGGCUCAACCCCGGAACUGCCUUUAAUACUGGCAAUCUCGAGUCCGAGAGAGGUGAGUGGAAUUCCGAGUGUAGAGGUGAAAUUCGUAGAUAUUCGGAGGAACACCAGUGGCGAAGGCGGCUCACUGGCUCGGUACUGACGCUGAGGUGCGAAAGCGUGGGGAGCAAACAGG